Herpailurus yagouaroundi (jaguarundi) is the source of this 425-nucleotide long non-coding RNA. RefSeq lists it as uncharacterized. The transcript is spliced from 2 exons. Lineage: Eukaryota; Metazoa; Chordata; Mammalia; Carnivora; Felidae. The record is from RefSeq and is a predicted model, not a curated record.
AGAGAGCUUCUACAACUCAACAGAAAUCAAUGCAGCUUAAAAAUGAGCACAGGAUGUGAACAGACAUUUCUCCGAAGGAGAUACACAAACGACCAAUAACCACAUGAAAACAAGCUAAAAACCAAAGAAUCUACGUUCCACUCCAAGGGGGAAGGAAGAGCGUUCGUCAUUCUCUGAGUUUCUCCUAGGCCCCCAAACACCCGAUAACAUCUAAGAAGAGCCAGAUCCCAAACAAGUUCUAGGACAUUAGCUUCAAACAAACCUCAGCCAAGAUUCCUGGAGGAACACGUUCCCUGGACCCUCUUCCAAAUAACCCCCCAGCCCCAAGUGACGACAGGACUCAUUCUCCAUUCCUUUCCGAGUCUCCCAGACAUUCUGUCUGGUAUUUUCCCUCACACUUUUCGAUAAACUCUGUUUUCACUUUC